CUCUUUGGUGAUUUAUCAGGAUCUGGAUUGGAAUGUUAAAUCCAUAACCAAAAUUGGGAAAAUUAUGGGGGAAGUUUUACCUAUUCAACCUGCAGAUGCAGUACCAGAAGAAGGUGUCCCAGUGAAGGUGCCUGUAAAGCUUCUACUGACUAUUUGGCUAAGGCUCAUGCUAAGCCUCAUUAUUUUGGUGAGAUGAAAGAAGGAGAAAGGAAGGAAAUUGUGGUUUCAAGAGCUGGUGAUCAAGUCCCUAAUUUCGUAGUGGAUUUAUUCCAUCAAAAGAUGGCUAUGUUGUGAGUCCUAGAACUAUUUAUGAAGAUGGGAAAAAUGAUUCUGCUGAAGGAGAAAGACUUGGUAAGAGGCAGGGAAAUGAGGUUCCAGAUAUACAUGUUUUGGAACAUGCUGAUAAUGGUAGUGGCAAACAAGACAUCUCAUGUAGUCACUGAAAAGGAUAUCCAAAAGGGCAACACAAGGGAGACUCAGGUAAUUGCAUUGGAGUUCAAGGGAAAUACUUUGAUGGAGGAAUGAGAGAAGGCAUAGAAGUGGAGG
Papaver somniferum (opium poppy) is the source of this 546-nucleotide long non-coding RNA. RefSeq lists it as uncharacterized. The record is from RefSeq and is a predicted model, not a curated record. The transcript has 3 exons. NCBI's taxonomy places the organism in Eukaryota, Viridiplantae, Streptophyta, Magnoliopsida, Ranunculales, Papaveraceae.